UUCCGGUUGAUCCUGCCGGACCUGACUGCUAUCGGAUUGAUACUAAGCCAUGCGAGUCUUUGCAGUAAUGCAAGGCAUACGGCUCAGUAACACGUAGUCAACCUACCCUAUGGACGAGAAUAAUCUCGGGAAACUGAGCAUAAUUCUUGAUAGAUCAUAAUGCCUGGAAUGGUUUAUGGUUAAAAUGAUUCGUCGCCAUAGGAUGGGACUGCGGCCUAUCAGCUUGUUGGUGAGGUAAUGGCCCACCAAGGCGAUUACAGGUACGGGCUCUGAGAGGAGAAGCCCGGAGAUGGGUACUGAGACACGGACCCAGGCCCUAUGGGGCGCAGCAGGCGAGAAAACUUUGCAAUGUGCGAAAGCACGACAAGGUUAAUCCGAGUGAUUUCUGCUAAAGAAAUCUUUUGUCAGUCAUAAAACCACUGGCGAAUAAGGGGUGGGCAAGUUCUGGUGUCAGCCGCCGCGGUAAAACCAGCACCUCAAGUGGUCAGGAUGAUUAUUGGGCCUAAAGCAUCCGUAGCCGGCUUUGUAAGUUUUCGGUUAAAUCCAUGUGCUCAACGCAUGGGCUGCCGAAAAUACUGCAUGGCUAGGGAGUGGGAGAGGUAGACGGUACUCAGUAGGAAGGGGUAAAAUCCUUUGAUCUAUUGAUGACCACCUGUGGCGAAGGCGGUCUACCAGAACACGUUCGACGGUGAGGGAUGAAAGCUGGGGGAGCAAACCGGAUUAGAUACCCGGGUAGUCCCAGCCGUAAACGAUGCAGACUCGAUGAUGCAUUGGCAUAAUAGCCAGUGCAGUGUCGCAGGGAAGCCGUUAAGUCUGCCGCCUGGGAAGUACGUACGCAAGUAUGAAACUUAAAGGAAUUGGCGGGGGAGCACCACAAGGGGUGAAGCCUGCGGUUCAAUUGGAGUCAACGCCGGG
RNAcentral lists this ribosomal RNA (915 nucleotides) under uncultured marine archaeon. RNAcentral describes it as "bacterial SSU rRNA". It matches the Rfam family "Archaeal small subunit ribosomal RNA", at positions 1 to 922 of the family's 1478-position model. The record is from RNAcentral.